GAGGGGGACACACCCAGGGCCCAGGGGGGGCGCGGUAGGGCUUAGGGGCUGGGGGAGGGGAGGGCGGAGAAGGCGCUCAAAGUUCUUUUGUUUGAAAAUCGCAUCAGUUCCAGGGGGAAAACCUGGAUUUGUGACGUUUGAGCUGUCUCAAAGAGCAAAGAGCACCGGAUGAACCUGUAGCCCCACAGCCCGGGAGACCCAACUAGCAUAGGCCAUCACAGGCGCUGGACCUGGGACACAGAUGGUGUCCCACCAACGCGGCCACUUGAAGAUGGAGCCCCGAAAGAACGGCAGGGCCACCGUGCCCCGCUCAGCAGCAGGUGCAGCUGCGCACGGAGCUUUCAGCCGCUGAUUGACGUCCUUGAGGCCGCGGAUCUCCAGGAGGUGCUGCUGCAGCCGCCGGUUCACGUCGCGCAUCAGGCCGCCGUGCUCCAGCAUGAGGCCCACCUUCUCGCCCUCAGCACGCCGCAGCCGCCGCGCCAGCUCCUCCUUGCUCCAGCGCA
Molecule: long non-coding RNA, 503 nt
Filed under: Fukomys damarensis (Damara mole-rat)
Lineage: Eukaryota; Metazoa; Chordata; Mammalia; Rodentia; Bathyergidae
Description: lncRNA (ENSFDAG00000032708.1)
Source: RNAcentral